RNAcentral lists this transfer RNA (63 nucleotides) under Passalidae sp. GENSP02. RNAcentral describes it as "tRNA-Phe". Lineage: Eukaryota; Metazoa; Arthropoda; Insecta; Coleoptera; Passalidae. The record is from RNAcentral.
AUCUAAAUAGCUUAAAAUAGAGCGUAAUAUUGAAGAUAUUGAGGUAAAAUUUUUUUUUAGAUA